RNAcentral lists this ribosomal RNA (491 nucleotides) under uncultured bacterium. RNAcentral describes it as "partial 16S ribosomal RNA". It matches the Rfam family "Bacterial small subunit ribosomal RNA", at positions 28 to 507 of the family's 1533-position model. The record is from RNAcentral.
GAUGAACGCUGGCUACAGGCUUAACACAUGCAAGUCGAGGGGAAACGACGGGGAAGCUUGCUUCCCCGGGCGUCGACCGGCGCACGGGUGAGUAACGCGUAUCCAACCUGCCUCUGACUGAGGGAUAACCCGUCGAAAGUCGGCCUAAUACCUCAUGGUAUCGUCUGCGGGCAUCCAACGACGAUUAAAGAUUUCAUCGGUCAGGGAUGGGGAUGCGUCUGAUUAGCUUGUUGGCGGGGUAACGGCCCACCAAGGCUACGAUCAGUAGGGGUUCUGAGAGGAAGGUCCCCCACAUUGGAACUGAGACACGGUCCAAACUCCUACGGGAGGCAGCAGUGAGGAAUAUUGGUCAAUGGGCGAGAGCCUGAACCAGUCAAGUAGCGUGCAGGAAGACGGCACUAUGGGUUGUAAACUGCUUUUAUGCGGGGAUAAAGUGAGGGACGUGUCCCUCAUUGCAGGUACCGCAUGAAUAAGGACCGGCUAAUUCCGUG